AGGGGAAAUAGAAGGGUUACUGCUAAUAACUUUCUGUCAGUUAAAUUUGACUUCUCCUU
RNAcentral lists this transfer RNA (59 nucleotides) under Rhinebothrium megacanthophallus. RNAcentral's name for it is "tRNA-Ser". The record is from RNAcentral. Lineage: Eukaryota; Metazoa; Platyhelminthes; Cestoda; Rhinebothriidea; Rhinebothriidae.